GGACCAGACUCCUACGGGAGGCAGCAGUGGGGGAUAUUGCACAAUGGGGGGAACCCUGAUGCAGCGACGCCGCGUGGGUGAAGAAGCGCCUCGGCGCGUAAAGCCCUGUCAGCAGGGAAGAAAAUGACGGUACCUGAAGAAGAAGCCCCGACUAACUACGUGCCAGCAGCCGUGGUAAUACGUAGGGGGCAAGCGUUAUCCGGAAUUACUGGGUGUAAAGGGAGCGCAGACGGCAGUGCAAGUCUGGAGUGAAAGCCCGUGGCUUAACUACGGGAUUGCUCUGGAAACUGUGCAGCUAGAGUGCAGGAGAGGCAGGCGGAAUUCCUAGUGUAGCGGUGAAAUGCGUAGAUAUUAGGAGGAACACCGGUGGCGAAGGCGGCCUGCUGGACUGUAACUGACGUUGAGGCUCGAAAGCGUGGGGAGCAAACAGGAUUAGAUACCCCGGUAAU
RNAcentral lists this ribosomal RNA (449 nucleotides) under uncultured bacterium. Its description in RNAcentral is "bacterial SSU rRNA". It matches the Rfam family "Bacterial small subunit ribosomal RNA", at positions 328 to 794 of the family's 1533-position model. The record is from RNAcentral.